This is a long non-coding RNA of Mauremys reevesii (Reeves's turtle), 1381 nucleotides long. RefSeq lists it as uncharacterized. The record is from RefSeq and is a predicted model, not a curated record. The transcript is spliced from 3 exons. NCBI's taxonomy places the organism in Eukaryota, Metazoa, Chordata, Testudines, Geoemydidae.
CUGUUAGCUAGAGCCUGUACAGCCUAGCCUUUGGAGCACCUACAACUCUUGCCUAUGGGUUUCUGGUGCCCUGAGCACACUACCAGGUACCUGGAGGGGCCUGGUGUACCACAGCAACACCUGCAGUGGGAUUACAGCGCAAAGAAUACUCCAAAUUCCAAGUCCGAUCUGACCAAUGGGCAGUAAACAUGUGUUUCAGAUGUCUGAAAUUGGAACAGCUGCAACAAUACGAGGAAUGUAGAUUGCCUUGUUUCCCAUUUGUGGACUGAAGACAGAAUCUACAGGGUUCUGGGCAAAUGAUAAGAAGAAUGUUAUCCCCAUAUAUAUGUAAACACCUUUUAUCCCAAAGGAAGCCAAAGCACAACCAAUGGGCCACAUUCACCCUUACUGCAUGGCAUCUCCCUAUACCAGCCCAGCCUGCUGUGACCAGGCAGAUCAGCCUAUAGGUAGGCAGGCAUUGUUUCCAUUCCUUCCUCCAUGAGGCAUCUAUCAAGGGCAGGCAGGCUUGAUUUAUGCUCAAGAAUCCUACAAGGUUCCCAGGAGUAGAGGCUGCAGUGGAGAUGUGCUGCAGCCUGGCCCAGUCAGUGCCACUCACUUUGGGGGUUGGAACUGGAUGCCUGGGGAGCUACUCCAGCAGGGAGGAGUCUGUUUUGUGCUGCCACAGCCCCUGGGAGCAGACUCUCUGCUACCAUAAAACUUCCAGCCAGACCCGUUUUAGCUUCUGCCAGUUUUAGCUUCAAACAGAACAGACUGAAAAUGAUUUUUUGUUGUUAAAAAUUAAAAUGGAUGAUCUGUUUUGGAUCAAUAAAGUGAAAAUAAAAUUAACAUUUCCUGUAAAAUACAAGCAAGCCUGAAACUAAAGCUUUUUUAAGGUUCAAAAACUUUAUAUUGUUUUUUUUCCCUUCCUCUUUCAUUUUCAUACAACUCUGCACUUCCUGGUUCCCAAUAAGCUGGAAGCAGAAAUAUUAAAAUCUCACCAGAAAGUUUGUCCUUGUGAUAUUUCUGUCCAGAGGCAGAAAGCACUAGAAAUAUCACCAAACAACCUAUCCAGAAUAAUUCCUAGCCAAAUGUGGCCCCAAGAGUUUCAGGUAGGGUAAAUUACAUUCCCUCUUCUACAGCUAUGCACAGCCACCUGGCAUUAUGAAGGAAAGAAGUUUUGUAAUGCAAGGGCAGGGUUUACAACCCCUGCAAAUGCAAAGCACUUCUGUGGCAUUGCUCCCGGAGCAGUAGCAAACGUGGAAUUAGUGGUGGAGCUAGCCAAGAAUCCAUAUUUGUUCCCAUAGUGAGAUGGGAUAUUGAGCCCACAGGGCUACUCUAUCCAUUAAGCUGAAAUAGCCCCCAUAGAGGCAAGUAGUCUCCAUAGAGAUACUGACGCUUGCAG